GAGAAAAUAAUUUGAGAAAACUAGAAAUUGAACUAUCAAUUUUAGGAGCUCCCUCAGUUUGAGGAAGCCCGUCCAAAAAUAGGCGUAUGCCAUUUAUCGUGACGAACACACGGUAUUCUUUAGUAAAAGGCGAAAGAACAGUU
Molecule: long non-coding RNA, 143 nt
Organism: Rhodamnia argentea
Lineage: Eukaryota; Viridiplantae; Streptophyta; Magnoliopsida; Myrtales; Myrtaceae
Exons: 3
Source: RefSeq, a predicted model, not a curated record